GGGCAAUAACAACAUCUAGAAAGACGAACUAAAUCAGACAUAGCGAGGAGCAACACGAGCGGCC
RNAcentral lists this small nucleolar RNA (64 nucleotides) under Oryza sativa Japonica Group (Japanese rice). RNAcentral describes it as "Small nucleolar RNA SNORD43". Lineage: Eukaryota; Viridiplantae; Streptophyta; Magnoliopsida; Poales; Poaceae. The record is from RNAcentral.